GAGGUUUCGUCGUAUAGACUCAAAUAACUAGUAAGUUCGGAUAACUCCGACUUAGCCAAAAUAACAUAACACUUCUGAGUACGCAGCGGAAUAAGAUUCUGAAUACAUGUAUGAAGACAUGUAUCCCUAGAGUUCAUUAAUACAUAAUAAGACAAAAGAGUCCCGCUCGUCACUUCAUCACCAUCGGCAGCUACUCAACCUGCA
RNAcentral lists this long non-coding RNA (204 nucleotides) under Salvia miltiorrhiza (redroot sage). RNAcentral's name for it is "long non-coding RNA (SMIL_LNC011191)". The record is from RNAcentral. Lineage: Eukaryota; Viridiplantae; Streptophyta; Magnoliopsida; Lamiales; Lamiaceae.